AUGGACCAUUCCAUCCCUUUUUCCCGUGCAUAUGCAUCGGACUCGGAUGACGAUGGUCCCGAUGAACAAGUUGAUGCGGAGGGGUUCACGGUGAAGGAGGCCGAAGCUUUCGAGAAGGUAUUUGGUCGGGAUCAUCAGACUACAUUGUUCAAGGAUGUUAGUCUCGCGGAUGAAGCCGUGGUAGAUGGUGGCCAAUGUGUACCUCUUGGGGUUAGGCCAAGCUCUCACCGUGAUUUGGUAGACGACAAGAACCGGAUUGCUAAAGGUUCUAAGUUCGACAGCUUAUUGGAAUUGAAGAUGUGGCUCGACAACUACUUGGUUACGCAUUAUCGUCCACACAAGGUGGUGAACUCAGACGUCAAUGUGCGCUACACGGUUGCAUGUGCAUGUGAAGAUGAAAUAUGUCCGUGGAUUGUGCGUGCAAGACCAUGGAAAGGAGGUCCAACUUGGCAUGUAGUGAGUUGUGUGCCAACUCACUUGUGCCAAGGCAAAAGGGUGGAUGGCAAGAUUGUGUCCAAAGACCACAAACAACUCACGUCCGAGUUCAUCGCUUACAGGCUCUCCAACUCAAUAUCCACACUUCCAACAAUGAGCAUCCAACAUGUCAUUGAUCUUGUGAAAGCCAUCUUUCAUUACAAGGUGAAAUACGGUAAGGCAUGGAAGGUGAAGCAAGCCGCAUUUAAGAUGUUGUAUGGUACAUGGGAGGAAGCAUACAACCGAAUCCCUAGGUGUUGUUAG
RNAcentral lists this ribosomal RNA (738 nucleotides) under Triticum aestivum (bread wheat). Its description in RNAcentral is "partial small subunit ribosomal RNA". The record is from RNAcentral. Lineage: Eukaryota; Viridiplantae; Streptophyta; Magnoliopsida; Poales; Poaceae.